CCUACGGGCGGCUGCAGUGGGGAAUAUUGCACAAUGGGCGCAAGCCUGAUGCAGCCAUGCCGCGUGUGUGAAGAAGGCCUUCGGGUUGUAAAGCACUUUCAGCGGGGAGGAAGGCGAUGAGGUUAAUACCCUCCUCGAUUGACGUUACCCGCAGAAGAAGCACCGGCUAACUCCGUGCCAGCAGCCGCGGUAAUACGGAGGGUGCAAGCGUUAAUCGGAAUUACUGGGCGUAAAGCGCACGCAGGCGGUCUGUCAAGUCGGAUGUGAAAUCCCCGGGCUCAACCUGGGAACUGCAUUCGAAACUGGCAGGCUAGAGUCUUGUAGAGGGGGGUAGAAUUCCAGGUGUAGCGGUGAAAUGCGUAGAGAUCUGGAGGAAUACCGGUGGCGAAGGCGGCCCCCUGGACAAAGACUGACGCUCAGGUGCGAAAGCGUGGGGAGCAAACAGGAUUAGAUACCCCAGUAGUC
RNAcentral lists this ribosomal RNA (465 nucleotides) under uncultured Klebsiella sp. Its description in RNAcentral is "bacterial SSU rRNA". It matches the Rfam family "Bacterial small subunit ribosomal RNA", at positions 338 to 795 of the family's 1533-position model. The record is from RNAcentral. Lineage: Bacteria; Pseudomonadati; Pseudomonadota; Gammaproteobacteria; Enterobacterales; Enterobacteriaceae.